RNAcentral lists this small RNA (250 nucleotides) under Castor canadensis (American beaver). RNAcentral describes it as "7SK RNA (ENSCCNG00000006359.1)". The stretch from base 1 to 194 matches the Rfam family "7SK RNA". From Rfam's summary of the family: 7SK was discovered as an abundant small nuclear RNA in the mid-70s but a possible function has only recently been suggested. Lineage: Eukaryota; Metazoa; Chordata; Mammalia; Rodentia; Castoridae. The record is from RNAcentral.
GGAUGUGAGGGCGAUCUUCCUAUGAUAUCUGUCACCCCAUUGAUCACCAGUGUUGAUUCAACUGAUCUGGCUGACUAGGCGGGCGUUCCCUUCCUCCCUCACCACUACACGUGCAUCCCUCCUGAGCUGCAUACUCAGUCAAAGAGGACGACCAUCCCCGACAGAGGACACCCAUUGUGUAGAGUUUAAGUUCAUUCAGGACAGAUUACUUCUUUUGAAUUUGAUCUAUAAUCUUAUGGUGAUGAAUAAU